RNAcentral lists this ribosomal RNA (253 nucleotides) under uncultured bacterium. RNAcentral describes it as "partial 16S ribosomal RNA". It matches the Rfam family "Bacterial small subunit ribosomal RNA", at positions 524 to 776 of the family's 1533-position model. The record is from RNAcentral.
UACGUAGGGUGCAAGCGUUGUCCGGAAUUAUUGGGCGUAAAGAGCUCGUAGGCGGUCUGUCGCGUCGGCUGUGAAAACUCGGGGCUCAACCCCGAGCCUGCAGUCGAUACGGGCAGACUUGAGUGCUGUAGGGGAGACUGGAAUUCCUGGUGUAGCGGUGAAAUGCGCAGAUAUCAGGAGGAACACCGGUGGCGAAGGCGGGUCUCUGGGCAGUAACUGACGCUGAGGAGCGAAAGCGUGGGGAGCGAACAGG